AAGACACUAGUAAAACUUAUUACCUUGCCUUGUCGAGGCAAAAUCGUGGGUUAAACCCCCGCGUGUCUUA
Molecule: transfer RNA, 70 nt
Filed under: Ethmidium maculatum (Pacific menhaden)
Lineage: Eukaryota; Metazoa; Chordata; Actinopteri; Clupeiformes; Clupeidae
Description: tRNA-Asp
Rfam family: tRNA
About the family: Transfer RNA (tRNA) molecules are approximately 80 nucleotides in length. Their secondary structure includes four short double-helical elements and three loops (D, anti-codon, and T loops). Further hydrogen bonds mediate the characteristic L-shaped molecular structure. tRNAs have two regions of fundamental functional importance: the anti-codon, which is responsible for specific mRNA codon recognition, and the 3' end, to which the tRNAs corresponding amino acid is attached (by aminoacyl-tRNA synthetases). tRNAs cope with the degeneracy of the genetic code in two manners: having more than one tRNA (with a specific anti-codon) for a particular amino acid; and 'wobble' base-pairing, i.e. permitting non-standard base-pairing at the 3rd anti-codon position.
Source: RNAcentral